This 464-nucleotide ribosomal RNA is filed under the name uncultured bacterium. Its description in RNAcentral is "bacterial SSU rRNA". It matches the Rfam family "Bacterial small subunit ribosomal RNA", at positions 30 to 490 of the family's 1533-position model. The record is from RNAcentral.
AUUGAACGCUGGCGGAAUGCUUUACACAUGCAAGUCGAACGGUAGAGGGGGCAACCCCUUGAGAGUGGCGAACGGGUGAGUAAUAUAUCGGAACGUGCCCAGUCGUGGGGAUAACGUAGCGAAAGUUACGCUAAUACCGCAUACGAUCUAAGGAUGAAAGCGGGGGAUCGCAAGACCUCGCGCGAUUGGAGCGGCCGAUAUCAGAUUAGGUAGUUGGUGAGGUAAAGGCUCACCAAGCCAACGAUCUGUAGCUGGUCUGAGAGGACGACCAGCCACACUGGAACUGAGACACGGUCCAGACUCCUACGGGAGGCAGCAGUGGGGGAAUUUUUGGACAAUGGACGCAAGUCUGAUCCAGCCAUUCCGCGUGCAGGAUGAAGGCCCUCGGGUUGUAAACUGCUUUUGUACGGAACGAAAAGGUUUCUAUUAAUACUAGGAGCUCAUGACGGUACCGUAAGAAUAAG